UAAAAGAAAAUCCUCUCAUAGAAUGCUACAAGUUAAAAACUACUUUCUCGACUGCGAUUAUUCUGCAUCUGUCUUGUGUUCUUACAAGAUCUUUAAUUUCUACCUUCAUUCUCUAAUAUUUCUCAAAAACAUGGAGAAUAGUCGUAUCAGCACGUUUUUUACAUGUUUGAUGAUCACCUUUCUGUUAAUAACAACUUUUAUUACAAUGGUGGUAACUGAACCAAAUGUAAUACAGGUUCCGUGUAAAAACGGUUACGUAAAAGUUAAUGGAAAAUGCAGAGAGGUUUUUAAAGGUUAAGAAUUAAAGUUACUGAAGAAAUGACAAUAAUGCAGUUGCAGUUUACAAUUGGAAAACAAUAGAAGCGAUUAUAAGCACAUAUUGUAAAUGAGCAAAUAAAAAUAAACUAUUGUA
This is a long non-coding RNA of Vollenhovia emeryi, 412 nucleotides long. RefSeq lists it as uncharacterized. The record is from RefSeq and is a predicted model, not a curated record. NCBI's taxonomy places the organism in Eukaryota, Metazoa, Arthropoda, Insecta, Hymenoptera, Formicidae. The transcript is spliced from 2 exons.